Molecule: long non-coding RNA, 467 nt
Organism: Onychostoma macrolepis
Lineage: Eukaryota; Metazoa; Chordata; Actinopteri; Cypriniformes; Cyprinidae
Exons: 3
Source: RefSeq, a predicted model, not a curated record
GUGUUAAACAUUUCUGAGUUGAUUUCAACACCCAAAGAGUAAUUUUAACACAUUCUGAGUAAAAUGGUGUCCGGUGUUGGAGUUACUUGACAGAGUGUGAUCAUCAGUGUUAAAACAACUCCAAAGAGAUGUAAUUAUACUCCGCCCCCGCAUUUCCGGUCAUUGCUGGAGAAACCGCCGCCAUUAUCCUCGCAUGGGUUCGAACGAAUUUUCAGACUCCUUGUCUUCCAUAUCUGAGACGUCUGACUCAAGCAACAGCUCAAGUGCAUGGACUAAUCCCUAGCAAGAGACAAAUAACUGAGGAGACAUCUGCACUGCCUCUUAAACAGAUGGUUAAAGAUGUGUUAAAGUUCAAGUCUGGUGGUGAAGCAGUACUACAGGAGUAUCAAGAAACAGAAACCCUUACAGAUGCCACAAGAAGACAAAUGAUUAACAUACUGGUGGCUCACAUGAUUGAUACACAUGGG